UACGUAGGUGGCAAGCGUUGUCCGGAUUUAUUGGGUUUAAAGGGUGCGUAGGCGGCUUUGUAAGUCAGUGGUGAAAUACUCCAGCUUAACUGGAGGGGUGCCAUUGAUACUGCGGAGCUUGAGUACAGAUGAGGUAGGCGGAAUUGACGGUGUAGCGGUGAAAUGCAUAGAUAUCGUCAAGAACACCGAUAGCGAAGGCAGCUUACUGGGCUGUAACUGACGCUGAUGCACGAAAGUGUGGGGACCAAACAGG
RNAcentral lists this ribosomal RNA (253 nucleotides) under uncultured bacterium. Its description in RNAcentral is "partial 16S ribosomal RNA". It matches the Rfam family "Bacterial small subunit ribosomal RNA", at positions 524 to 776 of the family's 1533-position model. The record is from RNAcentral.